RNA transcript from Tarenaya hassleriana, 2120 nucleotides. It is a transcript of the gene named heat stress transcription factor A-1e, with no coding region annotated. Lineage: Eukaryota; Viridiplantae; Streptophyta; Magnoliopsida; Brassicales; Cleomaceae. The transcript has 3 exons. The record is from RefSeq and is a predicted model, not a curated record.
GAAGGGGGUCGAUCAAGAUUGGCCCUUUAAAAACCUCGAGGUUUUUGUAGGUUUUUGAAAGCUCUCUCCAAUGGCGAAAUCGAUGUUCUCUUUUUGAAAGAAAGUCCAGCAUUGAUCGAUUCGUUUGCUGUGUAUUUUAUUACUCUCAUACUGGAUAUGGGAUCUGUUCGUGAACCCCUUCCGGCAUCAGCGCCACCGGCGGUGAAUUCUGUGCCGCCGUUUCUGAGCAAAACCUACGACAUGGUCGAUGACCCGUCGAACAACGAGGUGGUCUCGUGGAGCAGCGGGAACAACAGCUUCGUUGUCUGGAACGUGCCGGAGUUCGCCAAGGAGCUCCUCCCCAAGUAUUUCAAGCACAACAAUUUCUCCAGCUUCGUCCGACAGUUGAACACUUACGGUUUCAGAAAAGUUGAUCCAGAUCGCUGGGAAUUUGCAAAUGAGGGCUUUUUAAGAGGCCAAAAACAACUACUAAAGAGUAUAGUUAGGCGAAAGCCUGCUCAUGUGCACAAUCUACAACAACCGCACACUCAGAACUCAUGUGUUGAAGUUGGGAAAUUUGGACUUGAAGAAGAAGUGGAAAGACUUAAACGGGACAAGAACGUCCUGAUGCAAGAACUUGUAAGGUUAAGACAACAACAACAAGCUACCGAACAACAACUGCAAAAUGUGGGGCAGAAAGUGCAAACGAUGGAGCAGAGACAACAACAAAUGAUGUCAUUCCUGGCAAAGGCUGUGCAGAGUCCAGGUUUCUUAAAUCAGUUUGUGCAGCAGCAGAAUGAUGGCAACAGAUGCAUUGGUGGAAAGAACAAAAAGAGGAGACUUCCUGGAGAAGAUCAGGAGAACUCUAGUGCCCAUGGGACAAAUGGUCUUAACGGGCAGAUUGUUAAGUACCAACCGUCAAUGAACGAAGCGACAAAAGCUAUGCUCCAUCAGAUAUUGAAGAUGAGUAGCUCACCUAGGUGUGAACCGUUCACAAACAAUCCUGACAGCUUUCUUUUGGGUGAUAUCCCCACUCCAAAUGCUCUGGACAAUAUAAGCUCCUCGAAUAGGGUGUCUGGGGUGACCUUAGCCGAGGUUUCACCAAACCCUAGUGUUUCGUGCAUGUCUUCAGCAUCUAAUCCAACUACAAAUUUCCAAGAGCCUUGUAGAACAGAAAAAGUACCCGAGCCAAAUACACACCAGUCACCAGCUGACAUGGUUCAGCCAAAAUUAGCUCGGAGGCCAGAUGCUGCUGACGGGAGCCCAGAUUCUGAUGUAAUUGGAUGCGAGGUUGACAAUGGAGGGUCUAUGGAUCCAAUCACAGCUGUUUUGGAUGGAUCGAUGGAGUUAGAAGCGGAUGGAAUUUCUCCACAGGACAGCAUGGACGAGUUGCUGGAUGGGGUUCCAAAGCUGCCUGCAAUUCAUGAUUCCUUCUGGGAAGAGUUCUUUGCUGCGAGCCCAGUGGUUGGGGAUACAGAUGAGAUAUUUUUGGGAGGAAUGGAAAGAGACUUGGUAAUGGAACAAGAAUCACAAUCCAGCGAGAGGGAUGAUGGGUAUAAUAAUCAACACAUGGAGCAUCUAACUGAGCAGAUGGGACUUCUUAGGUCAGAAACCCAAGGGAAAUGACGUGGCAGUCAGUAAAGUAUUUACCUGUUUACAGGUAAAGGUGAUGAAUCUUUAAACCCUGGCUUUCUACCUUAACUGUGCAUUCAGAGAGCUAUCUGAAAUUUUGUGGAGGGGUAAUGUAUUGAAGCUUGAUUGUGUUGAUGUUGGUCUCUUGGGUGGUGGCAUAACACAAGCGGGUGAAAUUUUCUCUGGGACAAGGGGACCCGACGGAUGAGAGAGGUUUACUAGAGAGAGAGAGAGAGAGAGAGAGAGAGAGGAGCCUCUCCUUUUCUCUCCUCCCCUCUCCUCCGGUCAUCGAUGUCUAUGUCUAAUAAUAAUAAUAAGCAACUCUUUUACAUUUUGCCUUGAAAUGGUGUUGGUGACUCGAGAAAGGAUGAUAUGAUAGCACAAAAAACUUGAAAAAAAAAACAGAAAGGUUGUAUGUAACCCAAGGGGAUAGUGAGUUCCUAUGUGUUUCAACAGUGACAAACGAGUACAUUGUCGUUGUGUAAUGAUAAUCUUCUCUUUUGGCUGUA